Molecule: ribosomal RNA, 486 nt
Filed under: uncultured bacterium
Lineage: Bacteria
Description: partial 16S ribosomal RNA
Rfam family: Bacterial small subunit ribosomal RNA
Source: RNAcentral
AUUGAACGCUGGCGGCAUGCCUUACACAUGCAAGUCGAACGGCAGCACGGGUGCUUGCACCUGGUGGCGAGUGGCGAACGGGUGAGUAAUACAUCGGAACAUGUCCUGUAGUGGGGGAUAGCCCGGCGAAAGCCGGAUUAAUACUGCAUACGAUCUACGGAUGAAAGCGGGGGACGUUCGGGCCUCGCGCUUUAGGGUUGGCCGAUGGCUGAUUAGCUAGUUGGUGGGGUAAAGGCCUACCAAGGCGACGAUCAGUAGCUGGUCUGAGAGGACGACCAGCCACACUGGGACUGAGACACGGCCCAGACUCCUACGGGAGGCAGCAGUGGGGAAUUUUGGACAAUGGGCGAAAGCCUGAUCCAGCAAUGCCGCGUGUGUGAAGAAGGCCUUCGGGUUGUAAAGCACUUUUGUCCGGAAAGAAAUCCUUGGCCCUAAUACGGUCGGGUUAUGACGGUACCGGAAGAAUAAGCACCGGCUAACUACGUG